CAGUCGCCGCGGGAAUACGAAGGGGGCUAGCGUUGCUCGGAAUGACUGGGCGUAAAGGGCGCGUAGGCGGUUUGUACAGUUGGAUGUGAAAUUCCUGGGCUUAACCUGGGGGCUGCAUUCAAUACGUGCAGGCUUGAGUGUGGAAGAGGGUUGUGGAAUUCCCAGUGUAGAGGUGAAAUUCGUAGAGAUUGGGAAGAACACCGGUGGCGAAGGCGGCCAACUGGACUGGUAUUGACGCUGAGGCGCGAAAGCGUGGGGAGCAAACAGGAUUAGAUACCCGCGUAGUCCCUGUCUCUUAUAC
RNAcentral lists this ribosomal RNA (301 nucleotides) under uncultured bacterium. RNAcentral's name for it is "partial 16S ribosomal RNA". It matches the Rfam family "Bacterial small subunit ribosomal RNA", at positions 509 to 807 of the family's 1533-position model. The record is from RNAcentral.